CCGUGCAAAAAGAAGAGAAGAUAAAGCAACUCAAGGGGCCAUUAGAAAUAAAAUUCCAAUGUUUGAAGAUCUAUUUGGAUCAACACAAAUGAAGAAUACCAGUCAAAGAAAGGUACUAAAGGAACAUGAAGUACCACGUCUUGAACCUUCCCCUGAAGAUUAUUUCAACGAUUUGUCGAUAUUCGCCGCAAUAAGUGAUAGUCAAGUUCCUUCCAAGAGAGCUAAGCUAACAUAUGAAAUAGUU
Long non-coding RNA from Actinia tenebrosa (Australian red waratah sea anemone), 244 nucleotides. The record is from RefSeq and is a predicted model, not a curated record. Lineage: Eukaryota; Metazoa; Cnidaria; Anthozoa; Actiniaria; Actiniidae.